AGUGAACGCUGGCGGUAGGCCUAACACAUGCAAGUCGAACGGCAGCACAGUAAGAGCUUGCUCUUACGGGUGGCGAGUGGCGGACGGGUGAGGAAUACAUCGGAAUCUACUUUUUCGUGGGGGAUAACGUAGGGAAACUUACGCUAAUACCGCAUACGACCUACGGGUGAAAGCAGGGGAUCUUCGGACCUUGCGCGAUUGAAUGAGCCGAUGUCGGAUUAGCUAGUUGGCGGGGUAAAGGCCCACCAAGGCGACGAUCCGUAGCUGGUCUGAGAGGAUGAUCAGCCACACGGGAACGGAAACACGGUACAGACUCCGAAGGGAGGCAGCAGUGGGGAAUAUUGGACAAUGGGCGCAAGCCUGAUCCAGCCAUACCGCGUGGGUGAAGAAGGCCUUCGGGUUGUAAAGCCCUUUUGUUGGGAAAGAAAAGCAGCAGGUUAAUACCCCGCUGUUCUGACGGUACCCAAAGAAUAAGCACCGGCUAACUUCGU
RNAcentral lists this ribosomal RNA (491 nucleotides) under uncultured bacterium. Its description in RNAcentral is "partial 16S ribosomal RNA". It matches the Rfam family "Bacterial small subunit ribosomal RNA", at positions 29 to 506 of the family's 1533-position model. The record is from RNAcentral.